This 58-nucleotide transfer RNA is filed under the name Dipodomys ordii (Ord's kangaroo rat). It matches the Rfam family "tRNA", at positions 8 to 63 of the family's 71-position model. From Rfam's summary of the family: Transfer RNA (tRNA) molecules are approximately 80 nucleotides in length. Lineage: Eukaryota; Metazoa; Chordata; Mammalia; Rodentia; Heteromyidae. The record is from Rfam by way of RNAcentral.
UGGCUCAGUGGUAGAGUACUUGCCUCAUAAGCAUGAGACCCUGGGUUCGAUUCCUCAG